RNAcentral lists this ribosomal RNA (479 nucleotides) under uncultured bacterium. RNAcentral's name for it is "partial 16S ribosomal RNA". It matches the Rfam family "Bacterial small subunit ribosomal RNA", at positions 28 to 507 of the family's 1533-position model. The record is from RNAcentral.
GAUGAACGCUGGCGGCGUGCUUAACACAUGCAAGUCGAACGAAGCACUUUAACCUGAUUCUUCGGAUGAAGGUUUUUGUGACUGAGUGGCGGACGGGUGAGUAACGCGUGGGUAACCUGCCUCAUACAGGGGGAUAACAGUUAGAAAUGACUGCUAAUACCGCAUAAGACCACAGAGCCGCAUGGCUCGGUGGGAAAAACUCCGGUGGUAUGAGAUGGACCCGCGUCUGAUUAGGUAGUUGGUGGGGUAACGGCCUACCAAGCCAACGAUCAGUAGCCGACCUGAGAGGGUGACCGGCCACAGUGGGACUGAGACACGGCCCAAACUCCUACGGGAGGCAGCAGUGGGGAAUAUUGCACAAUGGGGGAAACCCUGAUGCAGCGACGCCGCGUGAGCGAAGAAGUAUUUCGGUAUGUAAAGCUCUAUCAGCAGGGAAGAAAAUGACGGUACCUGACUAAGAAGCACCGGCUAAAUACGUG